GGGGGGCAGCUGUCUCUGAAGUGCUGGGGGAUCUUCUUAGGCGGGACGCUAAGUGGGUGUUGUCUAUAGAGGAAAGAUGCAAGUUUUUGGUUCUUGGCAGGAGCAGAGGGGGGCUGAAUGCGCUCAAAGUUCAUGUUUUCUGCCCAAUGUUGAAAGAAAAGCGGGAUGCAAUUAGACUGAUAGCUGCAAGAUGGAAGCUUUCAGUAAAUGCAGCUGGUUGGGAGCCCAAAAGAUUCAUCGCUGUACAUGUUAUACCCAAGUCCAAAGCUCCAAGUCGUAUACUUGGUCCUAAAGGUUGUACUGUCAAUAACAUUGUUCAGCCUGCUGUUUUUGAUUCUCUGGUGGAUAUGGAUCCAAGGCUUGUUGUAGCUUUGUUUGACUUGCCAAGAGAUGCAGACAUUAGUGCCUUAGUUCUCAGGUUUGGUGGUGAGUGCGAGCUUGUCUGGUUGAACGACAAGAAUGCCUUGGCUGUGUUCAGUGAUCCUGCCCGAGCAGCAACAGCUAUGAGAAGGCUAGACCAGGGGUCGGCUUAUUGUGGUGCUGCUGUAGUUCAUCAGAGUGGUGUUGCAUCAGCAGUGGCAUCCACUACUAAUGUUUGGGGAGUCUCUGGAGGAGCCAAGGACGCGGGAGGAGUUGCAUCAGCUCUUAAGGGUAAUCCAUGGAAGAAGGCUGUAGUCCAGGAGCCUCAUUUGAGAGAGAGCCUAUGGGAUGCUGAAGAAUGGUCCAAGAAUCCCACUGAUUUAGCAGCCCCUUCUGCCUGGAGGGCGAAUGAAGCUCCACCUACUGCCUCGUCUAAUAGGUGGAGUGUCUUAGAGCCUGAAAUUGCUUCCAGCUUGCCCAGGACAUCUAUUACAAUCAAGGAACCUGUUACUGAGACACAAGUGGGGGGUUCAGUUUUGCCUCCCAAACCUCAAGAUGUGGGGAUCGAUGAUAUGGCAGAUGUAGUGGACGAUUGGGACAAGGCUUACGACUGAGAGCUUCUGGAAAUGCAUAUUGUUUUUGCUGUCCAAUUAUUUCUUUCAUUUUUUCUUUUUAGUGCUCAGACAGGAGCUGGUUUAGUUAUGUUUAGUAGCCCUGUUUUAAAGGGAGUGAUGUUUCCUUUAUGGUUCGAAAACACAACCCUUUUUAGCAUUGGUGCCAAUAUUCCCAAUGAAGGGCAAAAAAUAUUGGUAGUGUAAUGUACCUUUUGGUACGUGUUCU
RNAcentral lists this unclassified non-coding RNA (1200 nucleotides) under Hevea brasiliensis (rubber tree). Lineage: Eukaryota; Viridiplantae; Streptophyta; Magnoliopsida; Malpighiales; Euphorbiaceae. The record is from RNAcentral.